Molecule: long non-coding RNA, 522 nt
Filed under: Homo sapiens (human)
Lineage: Eukaryota; Metazoa; Chordata; Mammalia; Primates; Hominidae
Description: non-protein coding lnc-ALPI-1:1
Source: RNAcentral
GCUUGCCAAGGGCUCAGUCAGUUAUGUGCCAUCUAUCGUGGACUCCAAAAUGCAGUGACAAGUGAGCUUAUAGAGCAAGGGCUUCCUUGGGGUGCAUGGGCUGAGUUUUCCAUUGUCCUGAAACCUUCUAUAAGCAAUAGGAAGAAACUAUAGAUGGCAUGAUCAGUGGCCUAGGUUCUUCUCCAUAAAGUCCUCCCAACGACAGCCUCUUAUGGAUCAAUUGCUGUGCAGUGACUUAGACCCGGGAGGGCCAGCUGCUGACUCCAAAGCCUAAAGGGUCUCAGCUUCUCAAGAAGCCCCCUUCGGCCAGGCACGGUGGCUCAUGCCAUAAUCCCAGCACUUUGGGAGGCCGAGGUGGGAGGAUCACCUGAGGUCAGGAGUUCGAGACCAGCCUGGCUAACAUGGUGAAACCCCGUUUCUACUAAAAAUACAAAAAAUUAGCCAGGGUGCUGGUGUGCACCUGUAAUCCCAGCUACUCAGGGGGCUGAGACAGGAGAAUCCCUUGAAUCCGGGAGGCAGACG